Molecule: long non-coding RNA, 1238 nt
Filed under: Homo sapiens (human)
Lineage: Eukaryota; Metazoa; Chordata; Mammalia; Primates; Hominidae
Description: HSALNT0182937
Source: RNAcentral
GGUUGGGAGCAGGAAAACCGAAUCUGAAAAUGUACAGCCCCUUCUUCCUGUCGUGGGUCCCUCUGACGGGCUGGCAGCGUCCAGCAGCUGAGAACUAGGGGUCCUGUCCAUGCAGGCUCUGGGCAGUGAUCCAAGAGGCCAGAAGAGUGGAGAUGGAGCAGGGCCACUCCUUGGAGGCCCUGUCAGCACAGCCUUGGGCUCACAGUAAAUGGGGCAGGGGGUAGAGGGUGGUCUUUCUUCUUUCAUUUAGAACAAGCUGGAGGUGAAAAUCAUUUCUGCCCACCCUCCUCCCCCGGGGUGGAGCUCAUUUCACCUUGUAUCUUCUAGGAAGUCUCCUGACCCCCAAGGCUGGAUUAGGUGCAUCUCCUGGGCAGGUGGCGGGGGGCGGGGUGACAUAGCACUAUGUACUGCCCAUCCAUCCCUAGCCCUGUCAGCCGGGUUGCCAUCGCUUGCUGGCAUGUCCCUGACCCCACUGGCCAGACUCUGAUGGGAGGCAUCCUGGAAGAAAAUGGGAAGGGGGUAUUGGUCAGAGGGAGAAGCCAGUCCCACUGUGGUUGGAACUGAGGCCUCAUCUGGUCCCACAAGGGGCCCUGGAGCUGGGGUGACUCUUUGGAGUUGACCCAGACUGUAGCAAGGAGGCCAGGCCUUUCUUUCCCUGCAUUAGGCUGUGCCCUGGAAGCCACCGGCAGCUGACAGUCCGAGUAGCUGGCAGACGGGUCUGCCUCCUGAGGAAGGAACCUGGGAUGAACACCUGGAAGAGACUUUCUGAUUGCUAUGAAUGCUCUUCUACUUAUUUUUUAAAAAAUCAACUGUGAAACAGCCUCAGGCAGGGCCUUCAGGAGGUCCCCAGAAGCAGCCAUUGUUAUCACUGGGAGACGACAGCUCCAUGGUCAUUAUUGCCCCUGAAGAGCUUCCAGUGGGACAAGAUGUGGGGGUGGAAGACGGUGAUACUGAUGGUUCUCACCCUGUGUAGGCCAAGGUCUUAGCUUUUAACAAAAAUAUUUAAAAAGUAAAAAGCAAGUAACAAUGCUUUAAAAAUAGAGAAAACAUCCUGCUACUCGUUGUCUUCUUCUUCUUUAUUUAUUCUUUUUGAGACAGAAUUUUGCUCUUGUCGCUUAAGCUGGAGUAUUGUGGCAUGAUCUCAGCUUACUGCAACCUCUGCCUCUCAGGUUCAAGCAAUUCUCCGGCCUCAGCCUCCCAAGGAGCUGGGAUUUACAGGCAUGUACCACCACUCCCAG